GAUGAACGCUGGCGGCGUGCCUAAUACAUGCAAGUCGAGCGAACGGACGAGGAGCUUGCUUCUCUGAUGUUAGCGGCGGACGGGUGAGUAACACGUGGAUCACCUACCUAUAAGACUGGGAUCACUUCGGGAAACCGGAGCUAAUACCGGAUGAUAUUUUGAACCGCAUGGUUCAAAAGUGAAAGACGGUCUUGCUGUCACUUAUAGAUGGAUCCGCGCUGCAUUAGCUAGUUGGUAAGGUAAAGGCUUACCAAGGCAACGAUGCAUAGCCGACCUGAGAGGAUGAUCGGCCACACUGGAACUGAGACACGGUCCAGACUCCUACGGGAGGCAGCAGUAGGGAAUCUUCCGCAAUGGGCGAAAGCCUGACGGAGCAACGCCGCGUGAGUGAUGAAGGUCUUCGGAUCGUAAACCUCUGUUAUUAGGGAAGAACAUAUGUGUAAGUAACCGUGCACAUCUUGACGGUACCUAAUCAGAAAGCAACGGCUAACUACGUG
This 497-nucleotide ribosomal RNA is filed under the name uncultured bacterium. Its description in RNAcentral is "partial 16S ribosomal RNA". It matches the Rfam family "Bacterial small subunit ribosomal RNA", at positions 28 to 507 of the family's 1533-position model. The record is from RNAcentral.